UAAUGUAAAAACAUGAGAAAUUGACAUUGUCUAUAACUGGCAAGCUAAAAAGGUUGACAUAUUUUGUGUCGAAUAGUUAAUGUAAAAUGCUGAACUCUGCAUUCUCUCUACCGUCGGACAGGCCCACAUGAAUAACACAACAGCUACAACGACUGCACCGGACACAAAGGCUGGGGAGAAUAGGCAUAUAAAAGCGACAUCAAGCAAGUUAGCUUCUCGGCUUUCUAUUAUGUUACUGUAACGUGUGGUACGCGCAGCCGCUGACUGUUGGUGAAAAAAAAAUGAAUAUGCAAACAUCCUCCAAGAAGGUUCACGCCACAAUAAUAAGCAUCAACACAAAGCCGAUCGCCUAGCUAUAGCAGCCAAGCUAACCACCGUAUCAAGCUAGCACAGCUACAGUAUUUGAGCAAUAUCUGAAUAUGGCAUGUAUAAAAACAACAGUCACGUCGCCGAUUACUAAUAAAAUAUGCUAAAUCGUAUUUUUAGACAGUGGUAUGAAUAUGUAGCGGCGUACAGCGGUCUAAUCACAAAGCACCCUGGGUUGACGCAGGACAAGACUAGUGAGCUUCAGCGGGACCUCUUGAAGGGCGAGCAGGACAUACAGCAGGAGUGGGAUGGGAGUCCACAGGAGAUUGGACACUGAUGAGCUGAGCUGGUGAUCCCUCCUCUCUGCACCUGGGGGCAUCGUUUGCAUCAACAUCAGCCUGAGGAAGGAGGAGGAUAUGGUCAGAGGGAGAGGGUUGAAGGCUUACUUGUCAGUGGCGUUCAGACGGGCAUUGAACUUGAUCGGGAGGUCCACAAUAUGCGUGUGCUGUAGAGGAGAGACGUGACAGAGGAAAGAAGAGACAGGAGAGGAGUGACAGAGGAGCGAGUGAGACCCGAGGGAGGACAUGACUGAUGACAUCCACGCUAAUACAUAUGAAGACUUUCCACUAGCUCUCUUUCAUCACAGUAUAGAAGGAGUGGGCACUCCGCACCACGCACCUCAGGACAAGACAUGUGACCUGCUUUGCUCUCCGGAGCAGAGCGCCAUUGAAAGGAUUGAUAACUGGAGUGGCGUUAAGUGUUGAGGAGGACCAACUGAAAUUGAAGAUUCCUGGUGUCUGUGACGCCCGCCGUUUGCUGCGACUCAGACCCGGCGGAGAGCGUCGUGAAACACAGAAAAUACUGUCUGUCCUGCUAAAUUUGGAUGCAGUGUCUUUACCUGACAACGUUAGGAUUUGUCAGUUAUCCCGUGAGACAUUUUGUCCCGAAUCCAUUAGUGUUUUCAUUUCAAGUUGUAUGCAGGGGAUACACAGCAGGUCCCUUCUCAACCAUGCAACAACAAUAAUAACAAUAACCAUUUUAAUAACAAUUUAAUAAACAUUUAUAAUAAAUAAAGAUGUUAUAUGCCAAGCUUAUGGUCAUGUUGCAGCAGUGUGUAUGAGGGAGGUUCUGAGAUGUGUGCAGGGGGGCAUCAGACAAAGGAAUGUGUAGUAUCGGUGGAGAAAGCUGUGUGUGUUAACUGAAGGGUUACCCAUGGUGUUUGAGAUCAGGAGGGGCCAGUGAGAGAAAGGCAAGUCGCUGUUUCCAGGAUUUGAGUAGUACAGAAGCACUGGCAUACCCCCCCCCCCCCCCCCACUCCCAGGCUGCCUGGUCUAGGAUCAGAUACAGUGAAUUCAGAAGGUGUUUACAGACCUUGAUUUUUUUAAUGCAUUUGUUGUGUUAUAGCCUGAUUUUAAAAAUGAUUAAAUGUAGAUGUUGUGUCACUGGCCUACAUACAAUACCCCAUGUCAAAAUAGAAUUAUGUUUUUAG
Long non-coding RNA from Oncorhynchus mykiss (rainbow trout), 1795 nucleotides. RefSeq lists it as uncharacterized. The record is from RefSeq and is a predicted model, not a curated record. NCBI's taxonomy places the organism in Eukaryota, Metazoa, Chordata, Actinopteri, Salmoniformes, Salmonidae.